CCUACGGGAGGCAGCAGUGGGGGCUAUUGCACAAUGGGGGGAACCCUGAUGCAGCGACGCCGCGUGGGUGAAGAAGCGCCUCGGCGCGUAAAGCUCUGUCAGCAGGGAAGAAAAUGACGGUACCUGAAGAAGAAGCCCCGGCUAACUACGUGCCAGCAGCCGCGGUAAUACGGAGGGGGCCAGCGUUAUCCGGAUUUACUGGGUGUAAAGGGAGUGCAGACGGUGUUGCAAGCCAGUAGUGAAAGCCCGGGGCCCAACCCCGGGACUGCUCUUGGAACUGCGUGGCUGGAGUGCAGGAGGGGCAGGCGGAAGUCCUGGUGUAGCGGUGAAAUGCGUAGAUAGCAGGAGGAACACCGAUGGCGAAGGCGGCCUACUGAACUGCAACUGACGUUGAGGCCCGAAAGCGUGGGGAGCAAACAGGAUUAGAUACCCGUGUAGUC
This 440-nucleotide ribosomal RNA is filed under the name uncultured bacterium. RNAcentral's name for it is "partial 16S ribosomal RNA". It matches the Rfam family "Bacterial small subunit ribosomal RNA", at positions 338 to 795 of the family's 1533-position model. The record is from RNAcentral.